ACCUAGAAGUUAAGCAAAAGAGACCAAUUGAUGAAGUUAGGAAGAAAACACUAGCCUUCAAGGCUCAAGAGAAAAUUUCUGAGAUCCAUGGAAAAAGAGGAAACCGGUGACACUUCGUCUGUAAGUGAACAAACAAUAUCAGAAGAACUGGCAUUGAUAGGCAAGAAGCUUAGAAAACUAUUUAAGAAGAAAAAAUCUCAAGAAGAACUUGUCAACAAAUGCCAAAGAAGCAGAGAAAGAAGUCUUCUACAACUGUAGAAAACCAAGGCACUUUGCUACAUAAUAUAGAUGACCUACAUAGAAAUCAUCUGCACAGAGAAACAAAAAGGAAUGCAGCAAAGGAAACUGAUGAAAUUUAGGAACAGUCAUUAGAAACAAAGACAGGUUAGUGGAAAAAGGUUACGCACAAGAAGAAGAAAUUGAUUUUGAUGAAACCUUUGUCCUUGUGGCAAGACUGGAAAUAAUAAGAAUGUUCCUUGCCUAUGCUGCAUUCCAAGCAUUCAAACUAUCAAAUAGAUAUGAAGAGGGCCUCUCUAAAUGGAAAGCUGCAAGAGGAGGUAUAUGUUGAACAACCUCUUGGUUUUGAAGGCUUUGAACAUCCAUAUCAUGUCUACAGGUUAGACAAGACAUCAUAUGGUUUAAAAUAAGCUCUAAGGACAUGGUAUGAAACUCUUAACUUUUCUGUGUGAGAAUAACUUUCAAAUGCCACCCUAUUCUUAAGAAACAUAAACAACAUAUGCCAUUAGUGAAAAUUUAUGUUUAUAACAUUAUAUUUGGCUGCACUAAUAAUAAACUAUGUGAAAGAUUUGGUGCAUUAAUAAAAUCUAAAUUUCAAAUAAGUUUAAUGGGAGAAUUGAAAUACUUUCUUCGACUUCAGAUACAACAAUUAGAAAAUGGUAUAUUUAUAAAUCAAACCAACUACCAGAAGAACACAGUCAAGAAAUAUGGAUUAGAAACUACAAGCCACAUGAAAACCCCCAUGAGUACAGCCACAAAAAUUGAUAAAGAUGAGAGUGGAAAGGAAUAAGCCAAACAAUAUAUAGAGAAAUAAUAGACUCACGUUUGUAACUUACUGUAAGUAGACCAGACAUCCAGUACUCAAUCUGUGUAUGUGUAAGAUAUCAAUUUGAUUCCAAAGAAUCCUAUUACACUAUAGUAAAGAGAAUCCUGAGAUAUCUCAAAAGAACUCCAGAUAUUGGUGUAUGAUAUCUUAAGAUAUCAGAUUUUCCACUAACAGGUUAUUCAGAUGAAAAAUUUACAGGCUGUAGAGUUGAAAAGAAAAGCACAAGUGGAUCAUGUCAAUAUUUUGGUGCAAUACUUAUUUCAUGGUAAAUUAAGAAGCACACUACAGAAGAAGAAUACAUAGUUGGAGGAAGCUGUGCUGCACAAGUAUUAUGGAUGAGCUCAGAACUUGCAGAUUGCGGUAUUAUGGAUGACAACACGUCUGUAAUGGCAAUUUCAAAAAAUUCAGUUUUUCAUGUCAGGACCAAGCAUAUUAAUGUCAGAUAUCAUUUUAUCAGAGAUCAUAUGCAAAAAGUUCACAUUAAAUUAGAAUAUAUUAAAAAACAAAAACAAAUUACACACAUUUUUACAAAGUCUCUUGAUUAGAGAAAAUUCAUUCAAUUCCGAGGUGAAUUAGGUAUGAUUGAUUUGACUCAGUAAUAUGGCCAAAAUGCUCUACUUCUCUACUGCACAUGUGGAAUGCAGACCAACAUGUCAUGGGUCGAAGUGACCAGGCCUGGGCGACUGUUUACCAAAAACACAAGUCUUCGCAAAGUCGUAAGACCAUGUACGGGAGCUAAUGCUUGCCUAGUGCCGUAAGGUCAAGGAAGUUGGUGACCUGAUGACAGGGGAGCCGGCGACCGAAGGUAGCGAAAUUCCUUGUCGGGUAAGUAUGUGAACGGCGGCCAUAACUAUGACGGUCCUAAGGUAGCGAAAUUCCUUGUCAGGUAAGUUCCGACCAGCACGAAAGACGUAACGAUCUGGGCACUAUCUCGGAGAGAGGCUCGGUGAAAUAGACAUGUCUGUGAAGAUGCGGACUACCUGCACCUGGACAGAAAGACCCUAUGAAGCUUCACUGUUCCCUGGGAUUGGCUUUGGAUAUCUCCUGCAGUGGAAGGCGAAGAAGGCCCCGGCCCAAGCCAUCAUACCACUCUGGAGGAGCUAGAAUUCUAACCUUGUGUCAGGACCUACGGGCCAAGGGACAGUCUCAGGUAGACAGUUUCUAUGGGGCGUAGGCCUCCCAAAAGAUAACGGAGGCGUGCAAAGGUUUCCUCGGGCCGGACGGAGAUUGGUCCUCGAGUGCAAAGGCAGAAGGGAGCUUGACUGCAAGACCGACCCGUCGAGCAGGGACGAAAGUCGGCCUUAGUGAUCCGGAAGUGCCGAGUGGAAGGGCCGUCGCUCAACGGAUAAAAGUAACUCUAGGGAUAACAGGCUGAUCUUCCCCAAGAGUCCACAUUGACUGGAAGGUUUGGCACCUCGAUGUCGGCUCUUUGCCACCUGGUGUUGUAGGAUGUUCCAAGGGUUGGGUUGUUCGCCCAUUAAAGCGGUACGUGAGCUGGGUUCAUAACGUCGUGAGACAGUUCGGUCCAUAUCCGGUGUGGGCGUUAGAGCAUUGAGAGGACCUUUCCCUAGUACGAGAAGACUGGGAAGGACGCACCUCUGGUGUACCAGUUAUCGUGCCCACGGUAAACGCUGGGUAGCCAAGUGCGGAGCGGAUAACUACUGAAAGCAUCUAAAUAGUAAGCCCAGCCCAAGAUGAGUGCUCUUGAUCUCUCCGAUUCUCAGUCCCCUUUUCCCCGCUCGGCCCCUCGGGUAUACAUCGAGGAUGAGGAUGGAGCGGGAUAAGUUUAGAGAAUAGGAGAAAAGAUCACGGCGAGACGAGCCGCUUAUCAUCUCAUUACGAUAGGUGUCAAGUGGAAGUG
This 2924-nucleotide ribosomal RNA is filed under the name Drosera capensis. Its description in RNAcentral is "bacterial LSU rRNA". The stretch from base 1485 to 2924 matches the Rfam family "Bacterial large subunit ribosomal RNA". The record is from RNAcentral. Lineage: Eukaryota; Viridiplantae; Streptophyta; Magnoliopsida; Caryophyllales; Droseraceae.